RNAcentral lists this ribosomal RNA (468 nucleotides) under uncultured bacterium. RNAcentral describes it as "partial 16S ribosomal RNA". It matches the Rfam family "Bacterial small subunit ribosomal RNA", at positions 28 to 507 of the family's 1533-position model. The record is from RNAcentral.
GACGAACGCUGGCGGCGUGCUUAACACAUGCAAGUCGAACGGAAAGGCCCUGCUUUUGUGGGGUGCUCGAGUGGCGAACGGGUGAGUAACACGUGAGUAACCUGCCCUUGACUUUGGGAUAACUUCAGGAAACUGGGGCUAAUACCGGAUAGGAGCUCCUGCUGCAUGGUGGGGGUUGGAAAGUUUCGGCGGUUGGGGAUGGACUAGCGGCUUAUCAGCUUGUUGGUGGGGUAGUGGCUUACCAAGGCUUUGACGGGUAGCCGGCCUGGGAGGGUGACCGGCCACAUUGGGACUGAGAUACGGCCCAGACUCCUACGGGAGGCAACAGUGGGGAGUAUUGCACAGUGGGCGGGAGCCUGUUGCAGCGACGCCGCGUGCGGGAUGACGGCCUUCGGGUUGUAAACCGCUUUCGCCUGUGACGAAGCGUGAGUGACGGUAAUGGGUAAAGAAGCACCGGCUAACUACGUG